AAUCAACGCUGGCGGCGCGCUUAACACAUGCAAGUCGCACGAGAAAGGGAGCAAUCCUGAGUCAUGUGGCGUACGGGUGGGGAACACGUGGGAAUCUACCUCUUGGCGGGGAAUAACCCUGGGAAACCGGGGCUAAUACCGCAUAAGCUCGUGAGAGGAACGCAGCAAUGCACCGAGAGAGGAGCCCGCGGCCGAUGAGCUAGUUGGUGGGGUAAUGGCUCACCAAGGCGAAGAUCGGUAGCCGGCCUGAGAGGGCACACGGCCACACUGGCACUGAAACACGGGCCAGACUCCUACGGGAGGCAGCAGUGGGGGAUCUUGCACAAUGGGGGAAGCCCUGAUGCAGCGACGCCGCGUGAGCGAUGAAGCCCUUCGGGGUGUAAAGCUCUUUCGACAGGAGCGAUAAUGACGGUACCUGGAGAAGAAGCUGCGGCUAACUACGUG
Molecule: ribosomal RNA, 444 nt
Filed under: uncultured bacterium
Lineage: Bacteria
Description: partial 16S ribosomal RNA
Rfam family: Bacterial small subunit ribosomal RNA
Source: RNAcentral